Molecule: ribosomal RNA, 425 nt
Filed under: uncultured bacterium
Lineage: Bacteria
Description: bacterial SSU rRNA
Rfam family: Bacterial small subunit ribosomal RNA
Source: RNAcentral
UGGGGAAUAUUGCGCAAUGGGCGAAAGCCUGACGCAGCCACGCCGCGUGAGUGAUGAAGGUUUUCGGAUCGUAAAACUCUGUGGGGGGAGAAGAACAAAGCUGGUGAAGAGCCAGCCCUGACGGUAUCCCCUUAGCAAGCACCGGCUAACUCCGUGCCAGCAGCCGCGGUAAUACGGAGGGUGCUAACGUUGCUCGGAAUCAUUGGGCGUAAAGCGCGCGUAGGCGGUCUGGUAAGUUGGAUGUGAAAGCCCUGGGCUCAACCCAGGAAGUGCAUCCAAAACUACCAGACUUGAAUCUCGGAGGGGGCCAGAGAAUUCCCGGUGUAGAGGUGAAAUUCGUAGAUAUCGGGAGGAAUACCAGUGGCGAAGGCGCUGGCCUGGACGAUGAUUGACGCUGAGGUGCGAAAGCGUGGGGAGCGAACAGG